Molecule: long non-coding RNA, 1785 nt
Organism: Sciurus carolinensis (gray squirrel)
Lineage: Eukaryota; Metazoa; Chordata; Mammalia; Rodentia; Sciuridae
Exons: 3
Source: RefSeq, a predicted model, not a curated record
AGGCUGGAAGCUAGAAGAAUAAAGCGACAUGUUCUGUGUCCAUCUCAGAGCAGCAAAAUCAGGCGUGGACGCUUUCCCCCUAUUUGUUUUUGCCUUCGGAUUGUUUAGUGCAAAACAGAAAAAUUAGUGGGGAAGGUUCAGAAAGACUGGAGAAUGUGGAAAUAUGUGGCCAAUGAACAGAGCACAGGUGUGGACUCUGCCCCAAGCCCAGGAGGAUCUGGACAGGAGGACAGGAGAAGUCUUCAUAAACACAGGACGGCCGGCGAGGCAGGGGGACCCUGAGAUCAGAGCAGAGGUUCCCCUGCUCACCCCACCUGCUGAGAGGGCGCUGGUGAGAACAACUUGGGUCAGACACACACACACAGCUGGGGCUGCAAAGUCUCCAGGGAAAGCUGGGGUUCCUUUCGGGUCCUGCCGGAAAAGCCCUGGGCCAACCAGUCUCACCCAGGCUUGCCUCAGUUCCAGGCUUCCUGGAGACCACCAGAAAACCAAAAUAACCUGAAGAUAACAGUAUUAUUAUUUAUCAUUAUUAUGGAGUCAACUAAUGUUUUAGGUACCAGUGACCAGCCAGUGGACCUAACAGAGGGCGUUCCUGCUACCUCCAUAUACAUUCAAGGUCAACAUCAUGCUGAAAUCACACCGAAACCCACAUCUCAACCCAACACUCAUCCUGCGUUCUCUCCCCUUCUGCUUCGCCGGUUUAUUUCCACUUCUUUUGGGCCAUUGCAGGAGAAGGAAUGGCACCCUGUCUGGUGACUCCCUGGUCUUUCACUGACUGGGCGGGGCCAGCUGCAACUCUGCGGCAGGGAAGGGAGCGUGAAGUCGCUGCCACACUCAGCGCAGAGAGUUUAACACGAAACCAGCAACAUCGCUGAAGCUCUAGUCACUGUUUAGAUGUACGAGGGAAAAAAUCAUAGACCACCUGGCCAGUGCCUUCAAGAGUUCACACAGCGCAGGCUGCCGUUGAAGCCACAGGAAAUUAUGGAGCAUUGAUAAAAAGAAAACAACCCGUCUGGAAGAUGAAUCCCUUGCCUUCUUAAGCACCCUUAAGUAUGCCUGUUAAAGAACAGGAGGAUGAACAAGACUUCCACUACACAGCCUCCCGAUCGGGCAGGCCAUGAGACUAUUAAAAGAGAGAAUUGUCCCACCAUCCCAGAAAUCCUUAUCUACUUCCUUUACUCUUCUAUUUCUUGAUUUUUGGAAUUAAAGACUUCUUUAUUGGAGCAUGGUCAGAGCCUGACCUUGCACUUGGUUUAUGCCUGAUAAACUGACUUGAUUUUUUUUUUUUUUUUUUUUUUUUGGCGCUGGGAAUCGAACCCACGGCCUUGUGCUUGAAAGGCAAGCACUUUACCGACUGAGCUACAUCCCCAGCCCCUGACUUGGUUUUUGUUCAUGAACCGUGGCAGGAGGUGAGUGAGCCAUGGACAGUACUUCUAUUUUUGAACAAAGUUUAAUUUAUGUCUUUAUUUAUUUAGGUGCUGGGGAUCAGCCCCAGGGCUGUGCUCACAGCAGGCAAGUGCUCCACCACUGAGCUACACCCCUUCCCUUGGAAAUGAAAACCACAUGUAGUUUCAUUCUUUUAUUCAGGAAAACACUGAAUCUGUACAAAGUAAUGUUUCUAGUUAAGCUGUAAAAAUAUACUCCCAAGAAGAGAAUACUAUUUUGAAAUAGAUUUUUAAAAAAUAGCAAUUGUAAGAUGUACUAGUUGUCUUUGUUACUGUGAUCUUUAGGUCAGAAAAUUUCCUCACCACAUAUUACUAAAUUAAUAAAUAGCCAUUGGAUGUA